Molecule: long non-coding RNA, 514 nt
Filed under: Homo sapiens (human)
Lineage: Eukaryota; Metazoa; Chordata; Mammalia; Primates; Hominidae
Description: HSALNT0255830
Source: RNAcentral
GGCAAGUGAGGAAUAUGAAAUAACCUUAUGGCUGAAUCAGGGUGAAGGGGAAGCUUGUAAGCAUGGAAGACGCUCUACUCAAACUAAAAAGUUCAAGUUCUGAUCCAGCAGAUGAAGAGGGAGGCCUGAGAGGCUGCUGUUCUAACUCGCUCCCAGGUUCAAGUGAUUCUUCUGCCUCAGCCUCCCAAGUAGCUGGAAUUACAGGUACUGAGGAUGGAGGACAAGGGGUCAGUGGAGACCCAGCUUUGAGCAGAGCCCUGCCUAAGGUCCAGGGCUCGAUCUGGCCCUAACCACAGAGUCACCUUGAGGUAUGUAACCCCUCCUGGCUUCAAUUUCCUGACUUUUAGGAGUGUAUUAAUCCUAUUUCAUAGGUAGAGCACUUAGUAAGAAAUUGGUGGCCAGGUGUGGUGGCUCAUGCCUGUAAUCCCAGCACUUUGGGAGGCUGAGGGGGUGGAUUGCUUGAGCCCAGGAAUUUGAGACCAGCCUGGGCAACAUAGUGAGACCUUGCCUCUAC